Molecule: transfer RNA, 95 nt
Filed under: subsurface metagenome
Description: tRNA-Sec
Rfam family: Selenocysteine transfer RNA
Source: RNAcentral
GGAGGUGUAACUGUCCUGGUGGGCAGCGCGGUCUUCAAAACCGUAGUGGGGAGUAUGGCUUCCCGGGUAGGUUCGAUUCCUAUCCACCUCCGCCA